This 459-nucleotide ribosomal RNA is filed under the name uncultured bacterium. RNAcentral's name for it is "partial 16S ribosomal RNA". It matches the Rfam family "Bacterial small subunit ribosomal RNA", at positions 338 to 795 of the family's 1533-position model. The record is from RNAcentral.
CCUACGGGUGGCAGCAGGGAGGAAUAUUGGUCUAUGGGCGAGAGCCUGAACCAGCCAAGUCGCGUGAGGGAAGACGGUCCUAUGGAUUGUAAACCUCUUUUGCCGGGGAGCAAAAAGCGGUACGUGUACCGCAUCGAGAGUACCCGGAGAAAAAGCAUCGGCUAACUCCGUGCCAGCAGCCGCGGUAAUCUGGAGGAUGUGAGCGUUAUCCGGAUUUAUUGGGUUUAAAGGGUGCGCAGGCGGCGAGUUAAGUCAGCGGUAAAAGUGCGGGGCUCAACCCCGACAAGCCGUUGAAACUGGCGUGCUAGAGUGGGCGAGAAGUAUGCGGAAUGCGUGGUGUAGCGGUGAAAUGCAUAGAUAUCACGCAGAACUCCGAUUGCGAAGGCAGCAUACCGGCGCCCCACUGACGCUCAGGCACGAAAGCGUGGGUAUCGAACAGGAUUAGAUAACCGUGUAGUC